RNAcentral lists this small nucleolar RNA (90 nucleotides) under Echinops telfairi (small Madagascar hedgehog). RNAcentral describes it as "Small nucleolar RNA SNORD14 (ENSETEG00000023509.1)". It matches the Rfam family "Small nucleolar RNA SNORD14". From Rfam's summary of the family: U14 small nucleolar RNA (U14 snoRNA) is required for early cleavages of eukaryotic precursor rRNAs. In yeasts, this molecule possess a stem-loop region (known as the Y-domain) which is essential for function. Lineage: Eukaryota; Metazoa; Chordata; Mammalia; Afrosoricida; Tenrecidae. The record is from RNAcentral.
UCACUGUGAUGACUGACUUCCAACAUUCGCAGUUUCCACCAGAAGGGUUUCCCCCUUAUGUUGUGCUAUCUUCCUUGGAUGUCUGAGUGA